GAAAUGGGUCUUCAGUCUCUGCAACCGACUUUAAUGACUUUUUCUUUUCAAAAAAAACCAGCAGCCCAAGUACAUAAUAGUAUGGUUGAUUCCUUCCUCUGAAACUUCCCAUUUUUCAAAUUUGAGGGAAUAUUAAAUGAUUUACUAAAUCAGUACCUAUAUAUUUAAUUCUUGGACAUUGCAAUCCUAAUCAAAGAAAAAUAAAGAAGAGAGAAAAAAAACUCUUAGGCUACAGUAAUAUUACUUACUGUUGUUGUGGGUAUUCUCAAAUCAGCUUUUGCGCAUCGAUGUAGAAAUACGUGUGGGUGGUCUAGCCAGCUGCAGUUGCUAAUGCAACUUCCAGAACCUGUGGCCAGUACAAUUUCUAGUAAAAUGUUAUGUGCAUU
RNAcentral lists this unclassified non-coding RNA (386 nucleotides) under Hevea brasiliensis (rubber tree). The record is from RNAcentral. Lineage: Eukaryota; Viridiplantae; Streptophyta; Magnoliopsida; Malpighiales; Euphorbiaceae.